AUUGAACGCUGGCGGCAUGCCUUACACAUGCAAGUCGAACGGUAACAGGUUAAGCUGACGAGUGGCGAACGGGUGAGUAAUGUAUCGGAACGUGCCCAGUUGUGGGGGAUAACUGCUCGAAAGAGCAGCUAAUACCGCAUACGACCUGAGGGUGAAAGCGGGGGAUCGCAAGACCUCGCGCAAUUGGAGCGGCCGAUAUCAGAUUAGGUAGUUGGUGGGGUAAAGGCUCACCAAGCCGACGAUCUGUAGCUGGUCUGAGAGGACGACCAGCCACACUGGGACUGAGACACGGCCCAGACUCCUACGGGAGGCAGCAGUGGGGAAUUUUGGACAAUGGGCGCAAGCCUGAUCCAGCCAUGCCGCGUGCGGGAAGAAGGCCUUCGGGUUGUAAACCGCUUUUGUCAGGGAAGAAACGCUCUGGGUUAAUACCCUGGGGUAAUGACGGUACCUGAAGAAUAAGCACCGGUUAACUACGUGCCAGCAGCCGCGGUAA
RNAcentral lists this ribosomal RNA (493 nucleotides) under uncultured bacterium. RNAcentral's name for it is "partial 16S ribosomal RNA". It matches the Rfam family "Bacterial small subunit ribosomal RNA", at positions 30 to 523 of the family's 1533-position model. The record is from RNAcentral.